CUUCGAUCCGGGGACUUGAACUAAAUCCUCGACAACUCCAAGUUAAAACACAUUAUCCAUCUCAACUCGUCGACUACGGGGAGCCUUCUGCAGCCGUAUCUGAUGCCCGGGGAGUGUCACCUUCGCUUGGACUUUCUGAACCCCUCUCUGGCCCACUAAUUCACCCCCAGGUUCCGGAUACAUGAUGAUCAUAAUUAACGUUGUGAUGAAGCCAGAUGCCUUCAUCGAUCAUCUGGACACGCCACUCGUGCUGCUUGUGCUGAAACCCGGCGGACGCUCUUCCUUCACUGUAAUAACACGAGUGUGUAAACCAAGUAUAAAAACUAAACCAACACUACACACAAGCAAUGGUGGUUGUGUGAAGACGCGCCUUUAUGUGCGUCCAUCCUGCCAACCACGUCCAGCAG
Molecule: long non-coding RNA, 407 nt
Organism: Gasterosteus aculeatus aculeatus (three-spined stickleback)
Lineage: Eukaryota; Metazoa; Chordata; Actinopteri; Perciformes; Gasterosteidae
Source: Ensembl